This 497-nucleotide ribosomal RNA is filed under the name uncultured bacterium. RNAcentral describes it as "partial 16S ribosomal RNA". It matches the Rfam family "Bacterial small subunit ribosomal RNA", at positions 28 to 507 of the family's 1533-position model. The record is from RNAcentral.
GACGAACGCUGGCGGCGUGCCUAAUACAUGCAAGUUGAGCGCUGAAGGUUGGUACUUGUACCGACUGGAUGAGCAGCGAACGGGUGAGUAACGCGUGGGGAAUCUGCCUUUGAGCGGGGGACAACAUUUGGAAACGAAUGCUAAUACCGCAUAAAAACUUUAAACACAAGUUUUAAGUUUGAAAGAUGCAAUUGCAUCACUCAAAGAUGAUCCCGCGUUGUAUUAGCUAGUUGGCGAGGUAAAGGCUCACCAAGGCGAUGAUACAUAGCCGACCUGAGAGGGUGAUCGGCCACAUUGGGACUGAGACACGGCCCAAACUCCUACGGGAGGCAGCAGUAGGGAAUCUUCGGCAAUGGACGAAAGUCUGACCGAGCAACGCCGCGUGAGUGAAGAAGGUUUUCGGAUCGUAAAACUCUGUUGGUAGAGAAGAACGUUGGUGAGAGUGGAAAGCUCAUCAAGUGACGGUAACUACCCAGAAAGGGACGGCUAACUACGUG